AGCGGAGGAAAAGAAAAUAACAAUGAUUCCCUCAGUAACGGCGAGCGAAGAGGGAUAAGCUCAAAUUUUAAAUCUGUUGGGUUCCACUUAACAGAGUUGUAUUUUGAAGAAACGUUUUCUGCAUCCAGGAUUAGCCUAAAUCCUUUGGGAUAAGGUAUCAUGGAGGGUGAGAAUCCCGUUCAUGGUUAAUCUUAAGGAAGCUCUACGAUACGUUUUCCAAGAGUCGAGUUGUUUGGGAUUGCAGCUCAAAAUGGGAGGUAAAUUUCUCCUAAGGCUAAAUAUUGGCGAGAGACCGAUAGCGAACAAGUACCGUGAGGGAAAGAUGAAAAGAACUUUGAAAAGAGAGUUAAACAGUACGUGAAAUUGUUGAAAGGGAAACGAUUGAAGUCAGUCAUACCAACGGGAAAUCAACCUUUUGAGCUCGGUCUCGUGGGUUUUGAAGAGUUUCAAAGCCUUCGGAUUCGCGGGAUUGGGAUCUCUUGGUGUACUUUUUCGUACGGUUAGUCAACAUCGGUUUUGAAUGUCAUAAAAUGACUGGAGGAAUGUAGCUUCGAUCUCGUAUUGAAGUGUUAUAGCCUUUGGUAGAUGUGAUGUUUGAGACCGAGGAUUGCAACGGAUACCCUUCAGGGCUAUUCGUCUGAUCUCUGAUACGUUGCCUUGAUGUUGAAAGCUUGCUUAUGAUGUUAGGGUAUUACGGUCAAAAGGUUAGAACGAAUUACAUUCGUNAAGGAUGUUGACGUAAUGACUUUAAACGACCCGUCUUG
Molecule: ribosomal RNA, 764 nt
Filed under: Glomeromycotina sp. OTU17 DJMC-2012
Lineage: Eukaryota; Fungi; Glomeromycota
Description: eukaryotic LSU rRNA
Rfam family: Eukaryotic large subunit ribosomal RNA
Source: RNAcentral